CCGCGUUUUUAGCUUCCGUGACUGCCAUCUUUGCUUCUCUCCUCGCCACCUUGUAGAUCACCAUGUUCACUCUCCGUUCUUCCUCGCUUGUGCUCCCUGCCAACCUAGUGAACGCCUCCUUCUUCACCUCCACUUUUCCUUUGACUACAUCGUUCCACCACCAAUCACCCUGAUUUCUGCCUGAAUAACCCUUGGCUACCCCGAGCAUGUCCCGUGCUACCCCCCUAACCAAGUUCGCCUUCGCUAUCCACAUAGCGUCCGCUUCCCCAGAACUUCUCCAAGCUCCGCCCUCAACUA
This 297-nucleotide long non-coding RNA is filed under the name Nicotiana benthamiana. RNAcentral's name for it is "long non-coding RNA (NBEN_LNC016870)". Lineage: Eukaryota; Viridiplantae; Streptophyta; Magnoliopsida; Solanales; Solanaceae. The record is from RNAcentral.